Molecule: ribosomal RNA, 399 nt
Filed under: uncultured bacterium
Lineage: Bacteria
Description: bacterial SSU rRNA
Rfam family: Bacterial small subunit ribosomal RNA
Source: RNAcentral
UGGGGAAUCUUAGACAAUGGGCGCAAGCCUGAUCUAGCCAUGCCGCGUGAGCGAUGAAGGCCUUAGGGUUGUAAAGCUCUUUCACCGGGGAAGAUAAUGACGGUACCCGGAGAAGAAGCCCCGGCUAACUCCGUGCCAGCAGCCGCGGUAAUACGGAGGGGGCUAGCGUUGUUCGGAAUUACUGGGCGUAAAGCGCGCGUAGGCGGAUUGUUAAGCCGGGGGUGAAAUCCCGGGGCUCAACCCCGGAACUGCCUACGAUACUGGCAGUCUAGAGGUCGAGAGAGGUGAGUGGAAUUCCGAGUGUAGAGGUGAAAUUCGUAGAUAUUCGGAGGAACACCAGUGGCGAAGGCGGCUCACUGGCUCGAUACUGACGCUGAGGUGCGAAAGCGUGGGGAGCAA